CAGCCCUAAACGAUGCGCGUUAGGUGUAUCGGUGACCACGAGUCACCGAGGUGCCGAAGGGAAACCGUGAAACGUGCCGCCUGGGAAGUACGGUCGCAAGGCUGAAACUUAAAGGAAUUGGCGGGGGAGCACCACAACGGGUGGAGCUUGCGGUUUAAUUGGACUCAACGCCGGGAAGCUCACCGGAUAAGACAGCGGAAUGAUUGCCGGGCUGAAGACCCUGCAUGACCAGCUGAGAGGAGGUGCAUGGCGUAGUCGUGU
RNAcentral lists this ribosomal RNA (261 nucleotides) under uncultured archaeon. RNAcentral describes it as "partial 16S ribosomal RNA". It matches the Rfam family "Archaeal small subunit ribosomal RNA", at positions 748 to 1009 of the family's 1478-position model. The record is from RNAcentral.